Monodelphis domestica (gray short-tailed opossum) is the source of this 112-nucleotide small nuclear RNA. Lineage: Eukaryota; Metazoa; Chordata; Mammalia; Didelphimorphia; Didelphidae. The record is from Ensembl.
CUGUACAUAUCAAAGAAGAAAAGGUUGGUAUUCCCCUUGAAAAGGACAGAAGAGUUCCUAAUGUCCUUUAUAACACACAUUGUCACCUACUUUGUGGCAUCUAGCCAUGGAA